GCCCGGUAGCUAAAUGCGGAAGAGAUAAGUGCUGAAAGCAUCUAAGCACGAAACUUGCCCCGAGAUGAGUUCUCCCUGAGACUUAGAGUCUCCUGAAGGAACGUUGAAGACGACGACGUUGAUAGGCCGGGUGUGUAAGCGCAGCGAUGCGUUGAGCUAACCGGUACUAAUGAACCGUGAGGCUUAACCUUACAACGCCGAAG
RNAcentral lists this ribosomal RNA (203 nucleotides) under Salmonella enterica subsp. enterica serovar Infantis. Its description in RNAcentral is "partial 23S ribosomal RNA". It matches the Rfam family "Bacterial large subunit ribosomal RNA", at positions 2740 to 2925 of the family's 2925-position model. RNAcentral also lists the same sequence under 2 other names. The record is from RNAcentral. Lineage: Bacteria; Pseudomonadati; Pseudomonadota; Gammaproteobacteria; Enterobacterales; Enterobacteriaceae.